AACGCGAAGAACCUUACCCAGGCUCGAAAUGUAGAGGGCGAUACUAGAGAUAGUAUUUUCCGUAAGGACUUCUAUAUAGGUGCUGCAUGGCUGUCGUCAGCUCGUGCCGUGAGGUGUUGGGUUAAGUCCCGCAACGAGCGCAACCCUUAUCAUUAGUUGCCAACACGUAAUGGUGGGAACUCUAAUGAGACUGCCUAGGUUAACUAGGAGGAAGGUGAGGAUGACGUCAAGUCCGCAUGGCCUUUAUGUCUGGGGCUACACACGUGCUACAAUGGUCGGUACAGAAGGCAGCAAAGCCGUAAGGUGGAGCAAAUCCGUUAAAGCCGACCUCAGUUCAGAUUGUGGUCUGCAACUCGACCACAUGAAGUUGGAAUUGCUAGUAAUGACGAGUCAGCAACAUCGUCGUGAAUACGUUCCCGGGCCUUGUACACACCGAUACUC
This 441-nucleotide ribosomal RNA is filed under the name uncultured bacterium. Its description in RNAcentral is "bacterial SSU rRNA". It matches the Rfam family "Bacterial small subunit ribosomal RNA", at positions 958 to 1398 of the family's 1533-position model. The record is from RNAcentral.